This 253-nucleotide ribosomal RNA is filed under the name uncultured prokaryote. RNAcentral's name for it is "partial 16S ribosomal RNA". It matches the Rfam family "Bacterial small subunit ribosomal RNA", at positions 525 to 777 of the family's 1533-position model. The record is from RNAcentral.
ACGAGGGGGGCGAGCGUUGUUCGGAAUUAUUGGGCGUAAAGGGUGCGUAGGCGGUUUGGUAAGUCUUGUGUGAAAGCUCCCGGCUCAACUGGGAGAGGUCCUUGGAUACUGGCGGACUUGAGGGAGGUAGGGGAGAGUGGAAUUCCCGGUGUAGUGGUGAUAUGCGUAGAUAUCGGGAGGAACACCAGUGGCGAAGGCGGCUCUCUGGGCCUUUCCUGACGCUGAGACGCGAAAGCGUGGGGAGCGAACCGGA